UGAGGAAUAUUGGUCAAUGGGCGCAGGCCUGAACCAGCCAAGUAGCGUGAAGGAUGACUGCCCUAUGGGUUGUAAACUUCUUUUAUAAAGGAAUAAAGUCGGGUAUGUAUACCCGUUUGCAUGUACUUUAUGAAUAAGGAUCGGCUAACUCCGUGCCAGCAGCCGCGGUAAUACGGAGGAUCCGAGCGUUAUCCGGAUUUAUUGGGUUUAAAGGGAGCGUAGAUGGAUGUUUAAGUCAGUUGUGAAAGUUUGCGGCUCAACCGUAAAAUUGCAGUUGAUACUGGAUAUCUUGAGUGCAGUUGAGGCAGGCGGAAUUCGUGGUGUAGCGGUGAAAUGCUUAGAUAUCACGAAGAACUCCGAUUGCGAAGGCAGCCUGCUAAGCUGCAACUGACAUUGAGGCUCGAAAGUGUGGGUAUCAAACAGG
Molecule: ribosomal RNA, 424 nt
Filed under: uncultured Bacteroides sp.
Lineage: Bacteria; Pseudomonadati; Bacteroidota; Bacteroidia; Bacteroidales; Bacteroidaceae
Description: bacterial SSU rRNA
Rfam family: Bacterial small subunit ribosomal RNA
Source: RNAcentral